UGGGUUUAUAUAUAGACACCCCUCCAACAAGGAAGAAAUCUUUUACUCCUGCAACACGGGCUAUAAACCAUUCUCUGGGAACUGGUGGGCUUCAGUGACAUGCAAGAAAGGAUUCAGUCUGACGAGGCUCGCUGCAUCCGGGAGGAAGAAUGUGGUGCUCUUCCUAGUGUUCACCGUGGAAAACUAACCCCUUCGUGAUCCAGAAACUGCUGAUGUGGAAUGUGAUCCAGGGUUCAUAUCAAAUGAACGCUUCAUAAAAUGCAUCAAUGGUAAUUGGGAGAAACCAGUGUGUAAGGAGGGUGUGCCUUGUGGCAUUCCUCCAAAUGUGAAAAAUGCAGUCAUAACAUCUAAACUGAAGAAUGUUAUCCUGAUGGAUCUAGCUUAACAUACGAAUGUCAAAGCCCAUACUCAAUCAGUGGAGAAAAGAACGGUUUCCUGUCGCAAUGGAACAUGGGAAAAAAAACACCAAACAUGUCAAGAUUGCUCCACAGCAAUAAGCGCUGAGUCUCUUUGGUUGCGUAUUGUGGGCGGUACGGAGGCUGUGAAGAAUCAGUGGGGUUGGCAGACCAGUUUACAAUAUCAGGGCAAACACGUGUGUGGAGGAGUCAUCAUCAGCCCUCGGCUGGGUCAUCACUGCCG
Molecule: long non-coding RNA, 639 nt
Organism: Cyprinus carpio (common carp)
Lineage: Eukaryota; Metazoa; Chordata; Actinopteri; Cypriniformes; Cyprinidae
Exons: 4
Source: RefSeq, a predicted model, not a curated record